This is a long non-coding RNA of Salvia miltiorrhiza (redroot sage), 988 nucleotides long. RefSeq lists it as uncharacterized. The record is from RefSeq and is a predicted model, not a curated record. NCBI's taxonomy places the organism in Eukaryota, Viridiplantae, Streptophyta, Magnoliopsida, Lamiales, Lamiaceae. The transcript is spliced from 2 exons.
ACCUACGCUACCCCAUCCCCCACAACACCCCCCCCAAACCUACCCCCCGACCACCCACCUCCGCCAAACCCCGGCGCCACCCAGGACCCUCACCUCCCAAACUCCCGGCCUGGCAAACACCCCUCAAGCCUACCUCCUUCCCCAAACCCCGUUCGCCUCCUCAAUCUACCCUCAUCCCCACCCACCAUCGCACGCCUCAUCCACCCACGUCGCUUCCCUCACCUUUCGCCUGCUCCACGCCGCCGCCUCCUUUGAAGUAGGGCAAAUGGUAACGAGGGUGAAGAAGAAACACGCGAAGAGCAUCGAGACUUAGGUUUGGAGGAAGAGGUGGCGGAGGAGGAGGGCGGCAGAGCGGGCGUUAUGGGUGCGGAGAGUGUGGGUUUCUUCGUCUGGGGUUUGGGGGGAGAGGUGGCGGAGGAGGAGGGCGGCAUAGCAGGUGUUGUGGAAGAGCGCGGUGGCGGCGGGAGGAGGAGGAGAUGGGGAGGGUGAGGUCGCGAUUUGGUGAGGCGAUUUGAAGGAAGGGAGGCCACGAUUUGCAGAGCGGCGGUGAAAGGCGAGAGAGAGAUGGACCGUCGGCGGUGAAAGGCGGAGAUGGGCGGUGGUGGUGGUCUGGUGGCUGGAAGUCCAGAGCUCGGCGAUGGUGGUGGCUGGAAGUCCAGAGCUCGACGAUGGUGGUGGCUGGAAGUCCAGAACUCGGCGGCAAUGGUGGUGUGCAAGAGAGAUAGAUUUUUGCAGUUUUUUUUUUCUUUUUUUUUUAAUGUUGUUGGAAAUCAAAACGACGUCGUUUGAUUUGAAAAAAUGACGUCGUUUCCUUACGCCGCCGACUAUGCCACGCUGUAAUUACGGUAGUCCACGUCAGUUUCAAAUUGGGGGAAUUUUUUAAUUUUGGGAACAUUUAAGAACGAAUUCUCAAUUCGUUGUAUUUAUACGCCGACUUUGAAGUUGGUGAGAAAAUCGCGCAAUUUUUGAAAGCUUUUGAAUUUAGCGG